RNAcentral lists this ribosomal RNA (582 nucleotides) under uncultured bacterium. RNAcentral describes it as "bacterial SSU rRNA". It matches the Rfam family "Bacterial small subunit ribosomal RNA", at positions 102 to 680 of the family's 1533-position model. The record is from RNAcentral.
ACGGGUGAGUAAUAUAUCGGAACGUGCCCUAGAGUGGGGGAUAACUAGUCGAAAGACUAGCUAAUACCGCAUACGAUCUACGGAUGAAAGUGGGGGAUCGCAAGACCUCAUGCUCCUGGAGCGGCCGAUAUCUGAUUAGCUAGUUGGUGGGGUAAAAGCCUACCAAGGCAACGAUCAGUAGCUGGUCUGAGAGGACGACCAGCCACACUGGGACUGAGACACGGCCCAGACUCCUACGGGAGGCAGCAGUGGGGAAUUUUGGACAAUGGGGGCAACCCUGAUCCAGCAAUGCCGCGUGAGUGAAGAAGGCCUUCGGGUUGUAAAGCUCUUUUGUCAGGGAAGAAACGGUAGUAGCGAAUAACUAUUACUAAUGACGGUACCUGAAGAAUAAGCACCGGCUAACUACGUGCCAGCAGCCGCGGUAAUACGUAGGGUGCAAGCGUUAAUCGGAAUUACUGGGCGUAAAGCGUGCGCAGGCGGUUGUGUAAGUCAGAUGUGAAAUCCCCGGGCUCAACCUGGGAAUUGCAUUUGAGACUGCACGGCUAGAGUGUGUCAGAGGGGGGUAGAAUUCCACGUGUAGCA